RNAcentral lists this ribosomal RNA (555 nucleotides) under Mychodea disticha. Its description in RNAcentral is "eukaryotic LSU rRNA". It matches the Rfam family "Eukaryotic large subunit ribosomal RNA", at positions 364 to 1006 of the family's 3401-position model. Lineage: Eukaryota; Rhodophyta; Florideophyceae; Gigartinales; Mychodeaceae. The record is from RNAcentral.
AUGAAAAGCACUUUGAAAAGAGGGUGAAAAGAACCUGAAACCGUCACGGGGGAAGCGGAUUGCGUUGGCCUGGUGGGCGCCUGUGUGUUCAGCCUUUUUGGGUGCAUUGACACAGGUGCUUAUCCGCCGUGGGUUUUCGGGGGCCGAUUUUGGGUCCCCGGAGGCUGAGGGCUCCCUUCGGGUGAGGACGGCGGAGUGACGACGCGAUACGACCCGUCUUGAAACACGGACCAAGGAGUCUAGCGCGGGUGCGAGUCGGAGGGUGCAAGCCCGUGGGCGAAGUGAAAGCGAGUUUUAAAAACGAGCAGUUUGGGGCGGCAUAAGAUCGUUGAUCUUAAGACCGACCCAGAGCAGUUGCGCUGGGACCCGAAAGAUGGUGAACUAUGCCGGAGUAGGGCAAAGCCAGAGGAAACUCUGGUGGAGGCUCGUAGCGGUGCUGACGUGCAAAUCGCUCGUCCAACUUGGGUAUAGGGGCGAAAGACUAAUCGAACCAUCUAGUAGCUGGUUCCCUCCGAAGUUUCUCUCAGGAUAGCGGGCCGACAAGUUGUUUUGUGC